GUUACCUCCCCGAUACUGGUGACAGGAAGGGGGUGAACCAAUGGACUUCUUAAUCAGCUUUACAAUCUCUGUUAUGGCAGGAAUAGUUAGUUAUUAUUUUUGCAAAUGGCUAGACAGGAGAUUUAAGGGUAACUAGCCUAAUAUGGAGGUAGCUCUCCAAAAAAAGCAGAAACCCCACAGCUGCAACUGUGGGGUUUCGUUGUCCCAAU
Molecule: small RNA, 209 nt
Filed under: Veillonella sp. oral taxon 780 str. F0422
Lineage: Bacteria; Bacillati; Bacillota; Negativicutes; Veillonellales; Veillonellaceae
Description: Streptococcus sRNA SpF66
Rfam family: Streptococcus sRNA SpF66
Source: Rfam by way of RNAcentral